GGCAGGCCUAACACAUGCAAGUCGAGCGGUAACAGAUCCAGCUUGCUGGAUGCUGACGAGCGGCGGACGGGUGAGUAACGCAUAGGAAUUUACCCGAUAGUGGGGGAUAACCUGGGGAAACCCAGGCUAAUACCGCAUACGUCCUACGGGAGAAAGGGGGCUUUGGCUCCCGCUAUCGGAUGAGCCUAUGCCGGAUUAGCUGGUUGGUGAGGUAAUGGCCCACCAAGGCGACGAUCCGUAGCUGGUCUGAGAGGAUGAUCAGCCACAUCGGGACUGAGACACGGCCCGAACUCCUACGGGAGGCAGCAGUGGGGAAUAUUGGACAAUGGGCGCAAGCCUGAUCCAGCCAUGCCGCGUGUGUGAAGAAGGCCCUCGGGUUGUAAAGCACUUUCAGCGAGGAAGAACGCCUGGCGGUUAAUACCCGCCAGGAAAGACAUCACUCGCAGAAGAAGCACCGGCUAACUCCGUGCCAGCAGCCGCGGUAAUACGGAGGGUGCAAGCGUAAAUCGGAAUAACUGGGCUUAAAGCGCGCGUAGGUGGCUUGAUAAGCCGGUUGUGAAAGCCCCGGGCUCAACCUGGGAACGGCAUCCGGAACUGUC
RNAcentral lists this ribosomal RNA (599 nucleotides) under uncultured bacterium. RNAcentral's name for it is "bacterial SSU rRNA". It matches the Rfam family "Bacterial small subunit ribosomal RNA", at positions 41 to 637 of the family's 1533-position model. The record is from RNAcentral.